This is a long non-coding RNA of Nematostella vectensis (starlet sea anemone), 1369 nucleotides long. RefSeq lists it as uncharacterized. The transcript has 2 exons. Lineage: Eukaryota; Metazoa; Cnidaria; Anthozoa; Actiniaria; Edwardsiidae. The record is from RefSeq and is a predicted model, not a curated record.
ACGAAUUUUUAAAAAUGAACGCAUUUCGUCUUUAUCCAGCAACUUCGGAGCGUCAAAUUGGCGAACAAGCAUGGGCGAAGACAUAGAAAUCAAGACCUAUCCCCACAUCCUCUUAAGUAUGUUUCUUCAAACAAUUUCAAAGUCUCAGUACUUGCAUCGGAGUUUACAAAGGAAUUGGUUAACAAAUUGCACUAGUUUUUACUCUUUAUGGCUCGCGCUCCUGUCUGUCGGAAGGAGGAUUGUUUUCCCUACGACAUUGGCUUAGUCUUCGACAAGAUCGCCAGAUAUUCGCCUCAGGACAAGUUGAAAUUCAUCGAAAAUGUAUGGAAACCAGGUGAGCUUUUCGAUUUCCCAGUGUCAAUAGAGAAUGGAAAAUCUCGCAAGUUUGUUUUAAACUGGCUAAAGAAAUAUCCAUGGCUAGCCUACUCUAAAUAUUACAAAGGAGUGUUUUGCUUAGAUUGUGUUUGUUUUGGAGUUCAGUGUGGGCGAAACGCUAAUAAGUUAGACAAAUUAUUAGAAGUCUCUUCUUACAAAUUGGACUACGGCCGCUUCGCUCUUUACAAAACAUGCGCAAGGAAAUUGUGAAAUUCGAAAAUUUUCUAUGAUUGCUAUAGAAGAAUUUAAGAAAAUGAUGCGAACAGAAGCUGUCCCGAUAAGAUUUAUUUGCUCAAUUGCACCCUAGGAGAAUGAGAAUGGCAAACAUAUUUAACUUAAAUUUUUGCACCAUCUGUUUCUAGAGGGCUUGUGAGUUAUGUUCCAUCUGGGUCUUACCCUUAAACUGAUGGAGAACAGCUACAGAAACUCAAACUGGUGCCUGUAUAACUUUAUUUAAAAGUCAUUUCUAAAUGUUUUUUUUAUUUAGUGAUGAUUUCAAUUUUUCUAUUGACACUGGGAUUUCGUGUUAAGCUCAAAUGGUUUACAAACAUUUCCCUGGGCUCCAGAAGCUGCAGUUUCAAAGGAUAAAAAAAGGGGAGUAUUUUUCAAAUUAUAUUCUUUUUAUAAUCAUUCAGUACUUCUCUCUUUUAAACUAUGGUAACAAUGUUGGAUUUUUCUCCAGAGCUCCAGUUACUGCAGUCCCCAAGGAUGAAAAAGGGGAGUUUUUAUUCAAAUUAUAUUGUCUGUAAUUUGUAAAUAUCUUUUGUAUAUGACAUAUGAUAUUAAUAUUGGAUUUGUUUUCUUAUUAUCUUGAAAACUCCUGGACCAAGGACCAACCACAGGCUUGCCAUCUAUAAGCACCAUUUUUCCUUCUGCUCAAAGACAGUUAUAUUGGACAUAGACCAGUGGCACCGGUUUGGAUACCAGAUAUUUUUUUUGUAGAGCAAGGUGUUCCAUGUACCAUCAUCAACAAAAUAAAACUUUUUUGCCUUUA